This 652-nucleotide ribosomal RNA is filed under the name Bacillus sp. (in: firmicutes). RNAcentral's name for it is "bacterial SSU rRNA". It matches the Rfam family "Bacterial small subunit ribosomal RNA", at positions 70 to 707 of the family's 1533-position model. The record is from RNAcentral. Lineage: Bacteria; Bacillati; Bacillota; Bacilli; Caryophanales; Bacillaceae.
UGAUGGGAGCUUGCUCCCUGAUGUCAGCGGCGGACGGGUGAGUAACACGUGGGCAACCUGCCUGUAAGACUGGGAUAACUUCGGGAAACCGGAGCUAAUACCGGAUAACUUCUAGCACCUCCUGGUGCGAGAAUAAAAGAUGGUUUCGGCUAUCACUUACAGAUGGGCCCGCGGCGCAUUAGCUAGUUGGUGAGGUAACGGCUCACCAAGGCGACGAUGCGUAGCCGACCUGAGAGGGUGAUCGGCCACACUGGGACUGAGACACGGCCCAGACUCCUACGGGAGGCAGCAGUAGGGAAUCUUCCGCAAUGGACGAAAGUCUGACGGAGCAACGCCGCGUGAGCGAUGAAGGCCUUCGGGUCGUAAAGCUCUGUUGUUAGGGAAGAACAAGUACCGGAGUAACUGCCGGUACCUUGACGGUACCUAACCAGAAAGCCACGGCUAACUACGUGCCAGCAGCCGCGGUAAUACGUAGGUGGCAAGCGUUGUCCGGAAUUAUUGGGCGUAAAGCGCGCGCAGGCGGUCCUUUAAGUCUGAUGUGAAAGCCCACGGCUCAACCGUGGAGGGUCAUUGGAAACUGGGGGACUUGAGUACAGAAGAGGAAAGUGGAAUUCCACGUGUAGCGGUGAAAUGCGUAGAGAUGUGGAGGAAC